This is a non-coding RNA of Pelobates cultripes (western spadefoot toad), 103 nucleotides long. Lineage: Eukaryota; Metazoa; Chordata; Amphibia; Anura; Pelobatidae. The record is from the annotation of a GenBank genome assembly.
CCAGCAGAUCCUCCCUCCCAGACCCUCCUACUUCCUGGACAGCAUCCAUGAAACAUGCUGUCCAGGAAGUAGGAGGGUCUGGGAGGGAGGGUCUGCUGGAGAU